GACGAACGCUGGCGGCGUGCUUAACACAUGCAAGUCGAACGGAAAGGCCCUGCUUUUGUGCGGUGCUCGAGUGGCGAACGGGUGAGUAACACGUGAGUAACCUGCCCUUGACUUUGGGAUAACUUCAGGAAACUGGGGCUAAUACCGGAUAGGAGCUCCUGCUGCAUGGUGGGGGUUGGAAAGUUUCGGCGGUUGGGGAUGGACUCGCGGCUUAUCAGCUUGUUGGUGGGGUAGUGGCUUACCAAGGCUUUGACGGGUCGCCGGCCUGAGAGGGUGACCGGCCACAUGGGGACUGAGAUACGGCCCAGACUCCUACGGGAGGCAGCAGUGGGGAAUAUUGCACAAUGGGCGGAAGCCUGAUGCAGCAACGCCGCGUGCGGGAUGACGGCCUUCGGGUUGUAAACCGCUUUCGCCUGUGACGAAGCGUGAGUGACGGUAAUGGGUAAAGAAGCACCGGCUAACUACGUG
RNAcentral lists this ribosomal RNA (468 nucleotides) under uncultured bacterium. RNAcentral describes it as "partial 16S ribosomal RNA". It matches the Rfam family "Bacterial small subunit ribosomal RNA", at positions 28 to 507 of the family's 1533-position model. The record is from RNAcentral.